GUUAUAUGGUCAAGUGAAGAAGCGCAUACGGUGGAUGCCUUGGCAGUCAGAGGCGAUGAAAGACGUGGUAGCCUGCGAAAAGCUUCGGGGAGUCGGCAAACAGACUUUGAUCCGGAGAUCUCUGAAUGGGGGAACCCACCUAGGAUAACCUAGGUAUCUUGUACUGAAUCCAUAGGUGCAAGAGGCGAACCAGGGGAACUGAAACAUCUAAGUACCCUGAGGAAAAGAAAUCAACCGAGAUUCCCUUAGUAGUGGCGAGCGAACGGGGAUUAGCCCUUAAGCUUCAUUGAUUUUAGCGGAACGCUCUGGAAAGUGCGGCCAUAGUGGGUGAUAGCCCCGUACGCGAAAGGAUCUUUGAAGUGAAAUCGAGUAGGACGGAGCACGAGAAACUUUGUCUGAACAUGGGGGGACCAUCCUCCAAGGCUAAAUACUACUGACUGACCGAUAGUGAACCAGUACCGUGAGGGAAAGGCGAAAAGAACCCCGGAGAGGGGAGUGAAAUAGAACCUGAAACCGUAUGCGUACAAGCAGUGGGAGCCUACUUGUUAGGUGACUGCGUACCUUUUGUAUAAUGGGUCAGCGACUUAUAUUCAGUGGCAAGCUUAACCGUAUAGGGUAGGCGUAGCGAAAGCGAGUCUUAAUAGGGCGUUUAGUCGCUGGGUAUAGACCCGAAACCGGGCGAUCUAUCCAUGAGCAGGUUGAAGGUUAGGUAACACUGACUGGAGGACCGAACCCACUCCCGUUGAAAAGGUAGGGGAUGACUUGUGGAUCGGAGUGAAAGGCUAAUCAAGCUCGGAGAUAGCUGGUUCUCCUCGAAAGCUAUUUAGGUAGCGCCUCAUGUAUCACUCUGGGGGGUAGAGCACUGUUUCGGCUAGGGGGUCAUCCCGACUUACCAAACCGAUGCAAACUCCGAAUACCCAGAAGUGCCGAGCAUGGGAGACACACGGCGGGUGCUAACGUCCGUCGUGAAAAGGGAAACAACCCAGACCGCCAGCUAAGGUCCCAAAGUUGUGGUUAAGUGGUAAACGAUGUGGGAAGGCUUAGACACGGAGAAGGCUAGGCCAGCUUGGCGUUGGUUGUCCAAGUUUAAGGUGGUAGGCUGAAAUCUUAGGUAAAUCCGGGGUUUCAAGGCCGAGAGCUGAUGACGAGUCGUCUUUUAGAUGACGAAGUGGUUGAUGCCAUGCUUCCAAGAAAAGCUUCUAAGCUUCAGGUAACCAGGAACCGUACCCCAAACCGACACAGGUGGUCGGGUAGAGAAUACCAAGGCGCUUGAGAGAACUCGGGUGAAGGAACUAGGCAAAAUGGCACCGUAACUUCGGGAGAAGGUGCGCCGGCUAGGGUGAAGGAUUUACUCCGUAAGCUCUGGCUGGUCGAAGAUACCAGGCCGCUGCGACUGUUUAUUAAAAACACAGCACUCUGCAAACACGAAAGUGGACGUAUAGGGUGUGACGCCUGCCCGGUGCCGGAAGGUUAAUUGAUGGGGUUAGCGCAAGCGAAGCUCUUGAUCGAAGCCCCGGUAAACGGCGGCCGUAACUAUAACGGUCCUAAGGUAGCGAAAUUCCUUGUCGGGUAAGUUCCGACCUGCACGAAUGGCGUAACGAUGGCGGCGCUGUCUCCACCCGAGACUCAGUGAAAUUGAAAUCGCUGUGAAGAUGCAGUGUAUCCGCGGCUAGACGGAAAGACCCCGUGAACCUUUACUGUAGCUUUGCACUGGACUUUGAGCCUGCUUGUGUAGGAUAGGUGGGAGGCUUUGAAGCGUGGACGCCAGUUCGCGUGGAGCCAUCCUUGAAAUACCACCCUGGCAUGCUUGAGGUUCUAACUCUGGUCCGUGAUCCGGAUCGAGGACAGUGUAUGGUGGGCAGUUUGACUGGGGCGGUCUCCUCCUAAAGAGUAACGGAGGAGUACGAAGGUGCGCUCAGACCGGUCGGAAAUCGGUCGCAGAGUAUAAAGGCAAAAGCGCGCUUGACUGCGAGACAGACACGUCGAGCAGGUACGAAAGUAGGUCUUAGUGAUCCGGUGGUUCUGUAUGGAAGGGCCAUCGCUCAACGGAUAAAAGGUACUCCGGGGAUAACAGGCUGAUACCGCCCAAGAGUUCAUAUCGACGGCGGUGUUUGGCACCUCGAUGUCGGCUCAUCACAUCCUGGGGCUGAAGCCGGUCCCAAGGGUAUGGCUGUUCGCCAUUUAAAGUGGUACGCGAGCUGGGUUUAGAACGUCGUGAGACAGUUCGGUCUCUAUCUGCCGUGGACGUUUGAGAUUUGAGAGGGGCUGCUCCUAGUACGAGAGGACCGGAGUGGACGAACCUCUGGUGUUCCGGUUGUCACGCCAGUGGCAUUGCCGGGUAGCUAUGUUCGGAAAAGAUAACCGCUGAAAGCAUCUAAGCGGGAAACUUGCCUCAAGAUGAGAUCUCACUGGGAACUUGAUUCCCCUGAAGGGCCGUCGAAGACUACGACGUUGAUAGGCUGGGUGUGUAAGCGUUGUGAGGCGUUGAGCUAACCAGUACUAAUUGCCCGUGAGGCUUGACCAUAUAACACCCAAACA
RNAcentral lists this ribosomal RNA (2538 nucleotides) under Pseudomonas aeruginosa. RNAcentral's name for it is "23S ribosomal RNA". It matches the Rfam family "Bacterial large subunit ribosomal RNA". The record is from RNAcentral. Lineage: Bacteria; Pseudomonadati; Pseudomonadota; Gammaproteobacteria; Pseudomonadales; Pseudomonadaceae.